RNAcentral lists this ribosomal RNA (433 nucleotides) under uncultured bacterium. RNAcentral's name for it is "partial 16S ribosomal RNA". It matches the Rfam family "Bacterial small subunit ribosomal RNA", at positions 30 to 507 of the family's 1533-position model. The record is from RNAcentral.
AUUGAACGCUGGCGGCAUGCCUAACACAUGCAAGUCGAACGACACCAUCGGGUCUAGUGCCUCAUGGGUGCUUAACGAGUGGUAACCUGUCUUUCGGAUCGGAAUCACUCGGAGAAAUUUGAGCUAAUAAAGGCUGAUUUAUUCGGCCUACAUUUUUGACGUCUUAAGAUGGGCCCGCGUUGGAUUAGCUUGUUGGUGUGGUAAAUGCCUACCAAGGCGACGAUCCAUAUAUGGUCUGAGAGGAUGAGCAGCCACACUGUGACUGGGACACAGCCCAGACUCCUGCAGGAUGCAGCAAUGGGGGAUAUUGGACAAUGGGCGGAAGCCUGAUGCAGCAAUGCCGCGAGAGUGAUGAAGGCCUGAGGGUUGUAAAGCGCUUUUACCCGGGAGGAUAAUGACAGUACCGGAAGAAUAAGCACCGGCUAACUCCGUG